ACUAAAAUAAGUGGUGUGCUAAUAACACGAAACUAUGUGAGCUAAUUUUUUCCAGUUGUCAUGUUGUAAAAUGAUAAGUUGAGAAAGAAUUAGGGGUGAUAGGCUUUACAAACAUAGUGAUAUCUUGAUUCUUCUGAAAUGUAUUAGUACAUUGUAGGAUUUAAAGCUAUAAGGUUUUAAAUAACGAUGAAUUUUAAUAUGUACGUUGUAAGAUAUAAAAGUCUAUACACCAAAUAUAAUAAUAUUAUUAUUGUGUAAUUGUUAAUUUUAAGAGGAUGUAAGUAACCUUCAUAAAUAUUAAUAAUGUUACUAUAAGUAUUGAGAAGAUGUUAAUAGUGAACUCGGCAUUAAAUCUUCAACUGUUUAUCAAAAACAUAGCUGCGUGUAAAUAUACGCAGUGUUUUCUGCUCAAUGAAAUUUUAAAUAGCCGCAGUACCUUGACUGUGCAAAGGUAGCGUAAUCAUUUGGCUUUUAAUUGAAGUCGCGUAUGAAUGAAUAUAUGGGGAUUUUCUUUACCAUUAGCAAGAUUAAAAAUUACUUAAUGGGUGAAAAAUCCCAUACUUAAAUAAUAGACGAGAAGACCCUAGAAAUUUAUAUUGACUUUUUGUUGGGGCAACAUAGUAACAAGUAACUUACUAUAUGUAUAUGAAAUUUGUUUGAUAACAUAAAUUACUCUAGGGAUAACAGCAUAAUAUUUAAGAUGUUUGUGACCUCGAUGUUGGAUUAGGGAGUUAUAGUUUAGAAGACUUUUAAUCUUGCUCUGUUCGCGC
This 770-nucleotide ribosomal RNA is filed under the name Setobaudinia longiflagellata. Its description in RNAcentral is "partial 16S ribosomal RNA". The record is from RNAcentral. Lineage: Eukaryota; Metazoa; Mollusca; Gastropoda; Stylommatophora; Camaenidae.